ACCCGGCUGGCUCAGUUGGUGGAGCGUGUGACUCCUGCUCUCAUAGUCGAGAGUUCGAGCCCCAUGUUGGGUG
RNAcentral lists this transfer RNA (73 nucleotides) under Canis lupus familiaris (dog). It matches the Rfam family "tRNA". Rfam says of the family: Transfer RNA (tRNA) molecules are approximately 80 nucleotides in length. RNAcentral also lists the same sequence under 1 other name. The record is from Rfam by way of RNAcentral. Lineage: Eukaryota; Metazoa; Chordata; Mammalia; Carnivora; Canidae.